Molecule: ribosomal RNA, 415 nt
Filed under: uncultured bacterium
Lineage: Bacteria
Description: bacterial SSU rRNA
Rfam family: Bacterial small subunit ribosomal RNA
Source: RNAcentral
UGGGGAAUAUUGCACAAUGGGGGAAACCCUGAUGCAGCGACGCCGCGUGAGCGAAGAAGUAUCUCGGUAUGUAAAGCUCUAUCAGCAGGGAAGAAAAUGACGGUACCUGACCAAGAAGCUCCGGCUAAAUACGUGCCAGCAGCCGCGGUAAUACGUAUGGAGCAAGCGUUAUCCGGAUUUACUGGGUGUAAAGGGAGCGUAGGCGGUAAGGCAAGUCUGAUGUGAAAGGCCGGGGCUCAACCCUGGGACUGCAUUGGAAACUGUUUAACUGGAGUGUCGGAGAGGCAAGUGGAAUUCCUAGUGUAGCGGUGAAAUGCUUAGAUAUUGCGCAGAACUCCGAUUGCGAAGGCAGCGUACUGGCGCCUGACUGACGCUGAGGCACGAAAGCGUGGGGAUCGAACAGGAUUAGAUACCC